This 1257-nucleotide ribosomal RNA is filed under the name uncultured bacterium. Its description in RNAcentral is "bacterial SSU rRNA". It matches the Rfam family "Bacterial small subunit ribosomal RNA", at positions 88 to 1363 of the family's 1533-position model. The record is from RNAcentral.
AAAGUUAGUGGCGGACGGGUGAGUAACGCGUGAGGAACCUGCCUUACACAGGGGGAUAACGUUUGGAAACGAACGCUAAUACCGCAUAAGACCACGCUAUCGCAUGAUAGAGCGGUCAAAGGAGCAAUCCGGUGUAAGAUGGCCUCGCGUCCGAUUAGAUAGUUGGCGGGGUAACGGCCCACCAAGUCGACGAUCGGUAGCCGGACUGAGAGGUUGAACGGCCACAUUGGGACUGAGACACGGCCCAGACUCCUACGGGAGGCAGCAGUGAGGAAUAUUGCACAAUGGGGGGAACCCUGAUGCAGCAACGCCGCGUGGAGGAUGACGGUUUUCGGAUUGUAAACUCCUGUCCUUAGGGAAGAAAGAAAUGACGGUACCUAGGGAGGAAGCCACGGCUAACUACGUGCCAGCAGCCGCGGUAAUGCGUAGGUGGCGAGCGUUAUCCGGAAUUACUGGGUGUAAAGGGAGCGCAGGCGGGAAGACAAGUCAGCGGUGAAAUUUAUGGGCUUAACCCAUAAACUGCCGUUGAAACUGUUUUUCUUGAGUGGAGUAGAGGCAAGUGGAAUUCCUAGUGUAGCGGUGAAAUGCGUAGAUAUUAGGAAGAACACCGGUGGCGAAGGCGACUUGCUGGGCUCUAACUGACGCUGAGGCUCGAAAGUGUGGGGAGCAAACAGGAUUAGAUACCCUGGUAGUCCACACUGUAAACGAUGAUAGCUAGGUGUGGGAUUAGUUAACGAUUCCGUGCCGGAGUUAACGCAAUAAGCUAUCCACCUGGGGAGUACGGUCGCAAGACUGAAACUCAAAGGAAUUGACGGGAGCCCGCACAAGCAGUGGAGUAUGUGGUUUAAUUCGACGCAACGCGAAGAACCUUACCAGGACUUGACAUCCUGAGAACCCGAGAUAAUGAUCGGGGUGCCCUUCGGGGAAUUCAGAGACAGGUGGUGCAUGGUUGUCGUCAGCUCGUGUCGUGAGAUGUUGGGUUAAGUCCCGCAACGAGCGCAACCCCUACGGUCAGUUGCUACGCAAGAGCACUCUGGCCGGACUGCCGUUGACAAAACGGAGGAAGGCGGGGACGACGUCAAAUCAUCAUGCCCCUUACGUUCUGGGCUACACACGUACUACAAUGGCGAGAACAAAGGGAAGCAAUACCGCGAGGCGGAGCGAACCCCAUAAAAAUCGUCCCAGUUCGGACUGCAGGCUGCAACCCGCCUGCACGAAGUUGGAAUUGCUAGUAAUCGCGGAUCAGCAUGCCGCGGU